CUGCUCAAUGCAUUUAAAGUAAAUAGCCGCAGUAUUUUGACUGUGCUAAGGUAGCAUAAUCAUUAGUCUCUUAAUUAGAGGCUGGUAUGAAUGGUAGAACGAGAAAGAAACUGUCUCAUAGUAAAUAGUCGAAUUUCAUUUCUUGGUGAAAAAGCUAAGAUAAUUUUGAAGGACGAUCAGACCCUUUGGAGCUUUAUAAAUUUUUAAAUAUAAAUUUAUUUUUAAAGAUAAUAUUUAAAAAUUUAUUUUGUUGGGGCGACAGAGAGUUUAUAAAUAACACUCUUUUUAUUAACCAAAAAUAAUUGAAUUUUUGAUCCUUAANGAAAGAUUAGAAGAUUAAGUUACCCUAGGGAUAACAGCGUAAUCUUUUUAGAGAGUUCAUAUCGAUAAAAAGGUUUGCGACCUCGAUGUUGGAUUAAGAGAUUAGCAAGGUGCAGAAGUUUUGCUGGAAAGUCUGUUCGACUUU
RNAcentral lists this ribosomal RNA (466 nucleotides) under Simocephalus sp. Argentina. Its description in RNAcentral is "LSU rRNA". It matches the Rfam family "Bacterial large subunit ribosomal RNA", at positions 1859 to 2588 of the family's 2925-position model. Lineage: Eukaryota; Metazoa; Arthropoda; Branchiopoda; Diplostraca; Daphniidae. The record is from RNAcentral.